CUGGAGAGUGCAUGAUCUUCAGGUAACUGCGGGCUGCCAAGUGUGUCUCUUCAGUAGUAGUGGCGAGCAGCGUCUUUAGGAGGCGGCUUGACAGAGUUGGGCUGCUGCAGAAACCAACUCAGGCUGAGAUGAACUAAGUCCCACUGCAGAGGGAAACUGGAGCCGAGAUUUCCAUCUCCAAAUGCUUAAUGCCUGAGCAGAGAAGCCUCUGGGCCAUUAUGACAAACCACUAUCAGCUGUUAUUACAUUGAUACUGCCUGGCGGAUCAAGGAAAUGAAGCUUUGUUCUAGCGUGUAUUACAGGAAGUCAUUCUUACCCAAAUGGAUAUUGCUAGCAAUGGACUCCUUAGGAAAAACUUCCCUGGAGGAGUGGCCUUAGAGCCACAGACCAGAGGCUCUCCUGGGCUUUUGACAGCGAACGAGAUGAAGGAACAGCCAAAGGCAAAAAGCCUCCCUCGUGGAAAACGGAACAAUUCUGGGAGAAGACACUGCCUGAGGGAUUUUACAAUCCUUUGUGAGUAAUAAAAGACUGGAAUGUGGAACAAUAAGUGAUAAAAAUAUGGCCACAAUCAAAGGCAUCUGGUCAAAGAAACACCCGUGCUCUCCGGAGGGGCUGAGCUUGAAGAGUAAGGGCAGAAAGUGGCGGGUAUAUGAAUACAAGACAGAUACUGGGUGGUGGCUAAGAGCGUGGGCUGUCUCCUGGCUUUGCCACUGCCUGGCCCCAGGGACUUUGGGCAAGUCACUCCACUGUUUGUGCCUCGGGGUGACCAUGUCUGAAGGGUGGAUAUAGUAGUCCUUGCCUUGUAGUUUUCUGGGGAUCAAGUGGGAUGAUGUAAGUGCCUGACCCAUAGUGAGUGCACAAUACAUAUUAACUAUUCUCAUUAUUAU
RNAcentral lists this long non-coding RNA (887 nucleotides) under Equus caballus (horse). RNAcentral's name for it is "lncRNA (ENSECAG00000053778.1)". The record is from RNAcentral. Lineage: Eukaryota; Metazoa; Chordata; Mammalia; Perissodactyla; Equidae.